This 527-nucleotide ribosomal RNA is filed under the name Bacillus altitudinis. RNAcentral describes it as "bacterial SSU rRNA". It matches the Rfam family "Bacterial small subunit ribosomal RNA", at positions 83 to 596 of the family's 1533-position model. The record is from RNAcentral. Lineage: Bacteria; Bacillati; Bacillota; Bacilli; Caryophanales; Bacillaceae.
UCCCGGAUGUUAGCGGCGGACGGGUGAGUAACACGUGGGUAACCUGCCUGUAAGACUGGGAUAACUCCGGGAAACCGGAGCUAAUACCGGAUAGUUCCUUGAACCGCAUGGUUCAAGGAUGAAAGACGGUUUCGGCUGUCACUUACAGAUGGACCCGCGGCGCAUUAGCUAGUUGGUGAGGUAACGGCUCACCAAGGCGACGAUGCGUAGCCGACCUGAGAGGGUGAUCGGCCACACUGGGACUGAGACACGGCCCAGACUCCUACGGGAGGCAGCAGUAGGGAAUCUUCCGCAAUGGACGAAAGUCUGACGGAGCAACGCCGCGUGAGUGAUGAAGGUUUUCGGAUCGUAAAGCUCUGUUGUUAGGGAAGAACAAGUGCAAGAGUAACUGCUUGCACCUUGACGGUACCUAACCAGAAAGCCACGGCUAACUACGUGCCAGCAGCCGCGGUAAUACGUAGGUGGCAAGCGUUGUCCGGAAUUAUUGGGCGUAAAGGGCUCGCAGGCGGUUUCUUAAGUCUGAUGUG